RNAcentral lists this ribosomal RNA (705 nucleotides) under Phaeobacter sp. Its description in RNAcentral is "bacterial SSU rRNA". It matches the Rfam family "Bacterial small subunit ribosomal RNA", at positions 40 to 793 of the family's 1533-position model. The record is from RNAcentral. Lineage: Bacteria; Pseudomonadati; Pseudomonadota; Alphaproteobacteria; Rhodobacterales; Roseobacteraceae.
AGGCGGGCGCUACCAUGCAGUCGAGCGCACUCUUCGGAGUGAGCGGCGGACGGGUUAGUAACGCGUGGGAACGUGCCCUUCUCUAAGGAAUAGCCACUGGAAACGGUGAGUAAUACCUUAUACGCCCUUCGGGGGAAAGAUUUAUCGGAGAAGGAUCGGCCCGCGUUAGAUUAGAUAGUUGGUGGGGUAAUGGCCUACCAAGUCUACGAUCUAUAGCUGGUUUUAGAGGAUGAUCAGCAACACUGGGACUGAGACACGGCCCAGACUCCUACGGGAGGCAGCAGUGGGGAAUCUUGGACAAUGGGCGCAAGCCUGAUCCAGCCAUGCCGCGUGAGUGAUGAAGGCCUUAGGGUCGUAAAGCUCUUUCGCCAGAGAUGAUAAUGACAGUAUCUGGUAAAGAAACCCCGGCUAACUCCGUGCCAGCAGCCGCGGUAAUACGGAGGGGGUUAGCGUUGUUCGGAAUUACUGGGCGUAAAGCGCACGUAGGCGGAUCAGAAAGUAUAGGGUGAAAUCCCAGGGCUCAACCCUGGAACUGCCUUGUAAACUCCUGGUCUUGAGUUCGAGAGAGGUGAGUGGAAUUCCGAGUGUAGAGGUGAAAUUCGUAGAUAUUCGGAGGAACACCAGUGGCGAAGGCGGCUCACUGGCUCGAUACUGACGCUGAGGUGCGAAAGUGUGGGGAGCAAACAGGAUUAGAUACCCUGGUAG